Non-coding RNA from Rhodocollybia butyracea, 104 nucleotides. Lineage: Eukaryota; Fungi; Basidiomycota; Agaricomycetes; Agaricales; Omphalotaceae. The record is from the annotation of a GenBank genome assembly.
GUGAGAUGACUGAGUGGUCUAUGGCCCUAGAUUUAGGUAGUAUGUCCUUGACUGAAUGCUAUCUCUAGCCACUCGUGGCAUGGGUUCAAAUCCCACUCAUCAUA